Molecule: ribosomal RNA, 496 nt
Filed under: Pseudomonas sp. As-1
Lineage: Bacteria; Pseudomonadati; Pseudomonadota; Gammaproteobacteria; Pseudomonadales; Pseudomonadaceae
Description: bacterial SSU rRNA
Rfam family: Bacterial small subunit ribosomal RNA
Source: RNAcentral
AUCCUGGCUCAGAUUGAACGCUGGCGGCAGGCCUAACACAUAGGCAAGUCGAGUCGGAUGAAUGGAGCUUGCUCCAUGAUUCAGCGGCGGACGGGUGAGUAAUGCCUAGGAAUCUGCCUGGUAGUGGGGGACAACGUUUCGAAAGGAACGCUAAUAUACCGCAUACGUCCUACGGGAGAAAGUGGGGGAUCUUCGGACCUCACGCUAUCAGAUGAGCCUAGGUCGGAUUAGCUUUAGUUGGUGAGGUAAAGGCUCACCAAGGCGACGAUCCGUAACUGGUCUGAGAGGAUGAUCAGUCACACUGGAACUGAGACACGGUCCAGACUCCUACGGGAGGCAGCAGUGGGGAAUAUUGGACAAUGGGCGAAAGCCUGAUCCAGCCAUGCCGCGUGUGUGAAGAAGGUCUUCGGAUUGUAAAGCACUUUAAGUUGGGAGGAAGGGCAGUAAGUUAAUACCUUGCUGUUUUGACGUUACCAACAGAAUAAGCACCGGCUAA